AUCCUGGAGACGUUCCAGGAAGCCCUCCUGAGAGCCCUGAGCCCGAGCCGCAGCAAGCGCUGGUGCCUGUGGUGAGAGAGCUGGUCCCGGUCAGGGGGCCGGUCUGGGGCCAGCUCAGCCUGCAGCCCCUGCAGCCCCAGCCGCCGGUCAGGUGCGCCCCGAAGCAUCUCCAGAAGGAGGGUGGCCAGCACACGUUGGGGCAUGGCCCCCUGCUGAGACCCCACCGGCAACCCUCCACCCCAGACCCCUCCUUAUGGACUGGACUGCCUCCCACCAGGGUCACUCGGCACCCACUGAUCCCAGCACCUAUCCUGGGCCUGCUGCUGCUGCUGCUGCUCUCCGUCCUGCUGCUGGGCCAGUCCCCGCCCCCCACCUGGCCCCACCUCCAGCUCUGCUACCUCCAGCCCCCCCCAGUGUGAGGCGCUCAGAGAAGGUCUAGUCAGAGAACUCCCGGGGAAUCCUACAGUUAUUACCAUUGUUGUGCCACCAUUAGCUGGGGGGACCCCGGUACGGGGACCCCAGAUACAGUGCUCCAGGAUCCACACCCCUGUAUUGCGUUUUUAUGUGAAGUCUUUUGGUUUUUUAACGUUGGUAACUACAUUUCUUAGCAAUAGCAAAACACACCCAAUAAUGAAUUAAAUACUAGGAGUUUGUUUUCCUCCUGAAGCAAGUUUGGAGGAGGACAGCUGUGGGCCCACAGCUCAGAGUCUCCACAGCCUGGGAGUCAAGGGAGCUAUGAUUCUCUACGAUCCUCUCGGCCCUUCCCUCUUGCUCAGGAGAUGGCAGGUGUAGCUUCACACAUCACAUCUGUAGGAAGAAGGGGACGUGUCCCUUCUUUUCUUCAUAAAGAAAAGCUGUGGCCUUCCCAGAGCCAGCAGCCGACCUGUGUUUAGGUCUCGUUGGUCAGAAGUGUUUGUUGUGACCACUCCUAGCUGCAAGAGAGGCUGGGAGGCUGAGCACCUCUCCCCUCUCCUGGCAGAAAGAGGGAGAGAGACAGUGGGCCGGGCACACAUCACAGAUGUCCCCUGCAGUGCAAACAGCCGGCAGGAAAUGGACCAGUGUGCCAUUUGCUCACUCAUCACUUACUGCUCAUCUGCGCGCCACAAUUAGACCUUAGAAGAUAAAGCUGUAGGGGCGCCUGGGUGGCUCAGUCCAUUAAGGGCAUGAUCUCGGGGUCCUGGGAUGGAGCCCUGCAAGGCUCAGCAGGGAGUCUGCUUGUCCCUCUGCCCCUCCCACUCGUGCUUGCACAUGCUCACACUCUUCAACAAAAUCUUUUAAAAAUUCAUUUAAUUGUUUUUUUUUAAAAAAGGAAGCUAAAGCUGUAGAAAAACAGGCCUUCCAAUGCCAGGCUGAGGAGCACUGGUUUUCUCCUGAGGAUGAUGGAAGCUUUCAGAAUUUUAUUGCUUGUUUUUUGGUUAU
Molecule: long non-coding RNA, 1419 nt
Filed under: Ursus americanus (American black bear)
Lineage: Eukaryota; Metazoa; Chordata; Mammalia; Carnivora; Ursidae
Description: lncRNA (ENSUAMG00000007471.1)
Source: RNAcentral